This 34-nucleotide ribosomal RNA is filed under the name Pisolithus albus. Its description in RNAcentral is "partial 28S ribosomal RNA". The record is from RNAcentral. Lineage: Eukaryota; Fungi; Basidiomycota; Agaricomycetes; Boletales; Pisolithaceae.
UGAAGGCUUGACCUCAAAUCAGGUAGGACUACCC